RNAcentral lists this ribosomal RNA (212 nucleotides) under uncultured bacterium. RNAcentral's name for it is "partial 16S ribosomal RNA". It matches the Rfam family "Bacterial small subunit ribosomal RNA", at positions 589 to 793 of the family's 1533-position model. The record is from RNAcentral.
CAGAUGUGAAAGACCCGGGGCGUCAACCUCGGAAUAGCAUUUGAAACUAGGCAGACUAGAGUACUGUAGAAGGGGGUAGGAAUUUCAGGUGUAGCGGUGAAAUAGCGUAGAGAUCUGAAGGAAUACCGGUGGCGAAGGCGGCCCCCUCGGACAGAUACUGACACUCAGAUGCGAAAGCGUGGGGAGCAAACAGGAUUAGAUACCCCUGGUAG